UACGUAGGGGGCUAGCGUUGUCCGGAUUUACUGGGUUUAAAGGGUGCGUAGGCGGGUAGGUAAGUCAGGGGUGAAAUCUUCGAGCUUAACUCGGAAAUUGCCGUUGAUACUAUUUAUCUUGAAUAUCGUUGAGGUUUGCGGAAUAUGUCAUGUAGCGGUGAAAUGCUUAGAGAUGACAUAGAACACCUAUUGCGAAGGCAGCAGGCUAAACGAACAUUGACGCUGAGGCACGAAAGCGUGGGGAUCAAACAGG
This 253-nucleotide ribosomal RNA is filed under the name uncultured bacterium. RNAcentral's name for it is "partial 16S ribosomal RNA". It matches the Rfam family "Bacterial small subunit ribosomal RNA", at positions 524 to 776 of the family's 1533-position model. The record is from RNAcentral.